AGGAUCAUUCGCAAUGGGGGAAACCCUGACGAUGCGACGCUGCGUGGAGGAUGAAGGCCUUCGGGUCGUAAACUCCUGUCAUGACGGAAAAGGAGAGGGGUGCCAACACCACCCUUAUUUGAUGGUACGUCAAGAGGAAGAGACGGCUAACUCUGUGCCAGCAGCCGCGGUAAUACAGAGGUCUCGAGCGUUGUUCGGAUUUACUGGGCGUAAAGGGCGCGUAGGCGGCGAGGCGUGUCGGAUGUGAAAUCUCCGGGCUCAACCCGGAAAGUGCGUCCGAAACUGCCCCGCUCGAGUGCGGGAUGGGGAAGGGGAAUGCAGGGUGUAGCGGUGAAAUGCGUUGAUAUCCUGCAGAACACCGGAGGCGAAGGCGCCUUCCUGGAACGCAACUGACGCUGAGGCGCGAAAGCCGGGGGAGCAAACA
This 424-nucleotide ribosomal RNA is filed under the name uncultured bacterium. Its description in RNAcentral is "bacterial SSU rRNA". It matches the Rfam family "Bacterial small subunit ribosomal RNA", at positions 358 to 774 of the family's 1533-position model. The record is from RNAcentral.